CACAGGGAGGUAGUGACAAGAAAUAACAAUACGGGGCUUAAAGUCUUGUAAUUGGAAUGAUGGGAAUUUAAACCUCUUCCAGAGUAUCAAUUGGAGGGCAAGUCUGGUGCCAGCAGCCGCGGUAAUUCCAGCUCCAAUAGCGUAUAUUAAAAUUGUUGCAGUUAAAAAGCUCGUAGUUGAAUUUCUGCUGCAUUGCUUGUGUCCCUCUGGGGUCUGUGCAUGUGGCUUUUUUCGGACGGAGUUUCUUUGUCUGAAUGUUUACUUUGAGAAAAUUAGAGUGCUCAAAGCAGGCUUUCGCCUUGAAUAGUUUAGCAUGGAAUAAUAAAGUAGGACUUUGGUUCUAUUUUGUUGGUUUUAGGUACCAAAGUAAUGGUUAAUAGGAACAGUUGGGGGCAUUCGUAUUUAACUGUCGAGGUGAAAUUCUUA
This 426-nucleotide ribosomal RNA is filed under the name Theileria annulata. RNAcentral's name for it is "SSU rRNA". It matches the Rfam family "Eukaryotic small subunit ribosomal RNA", at positions 455 to 922 of the family's 1831-position model. Lineage: Eukaryota; Apicomplexa; Aconoidasida; Piroplasmida; Theileriidae. The record is from RNAcentral.